CUCUUUUUCUUAUUCCCUCUAUUUUCGCUUUCUCCUGAUUUUGGCUACCCCAAUCUGUUAUUUCCCUUUUUUAUUUUUAUUUCGUUCCUUAUUUGUUUUUUCCACUUUUCACUCUCUUCAAUUCUUUGGGCAAUUUCUCUUUUAAUUCCUUAUUUCUCUGCAUUCCUCUUUAAUUAAUUUGGGAUCAAAGUGUUGGUUCCUUCAAAGGAAUUUCUCUAUUUCUAACAUAAAUAUUUGUUCUGUUUUGCUUCAAAGAAUUUUGUUUCACUGAUGGUCUUGCUUCAACAUUGGAAGUAAAAUAUAGUGAAAUAGAAGUGAGAGGGUGAUGAGUAGUAAAAAAUGGCUGCAAAUAAUGAACGAGGAUAUAGAUUGAAGAUGAUUUGAAAGGGUAAAAGUAGGAGGAGGUGAGCAUUUAUCAGCUUUGCUGGUUGGUGAAAUAAGACCUACAGUUCAAGAUCCUUCUCUCAUCAAGGUCCCCCACGGUCAUUAAUUGAAGCUUAAAAACAAAAAGAUGCAUGGAUAAGAUCUUACUGAACAUUGUUAAAAUGAGAUUGAUUUUGGUAUAUUAGUGCGAGCACUGGUAUCAACAACAUACUACCCACAAGUAAAGUGCUGCCACAGAAAUUAGAAGGAGGAUGCCAAAUUUCUCAGAUAACUGGCCCUGUUACAGCUGCUAGAGAUACCGUGACAACAGCAGAUCGGAAAAUUGUGUAGGUUCUUUCUUUUCUCAGUUUAAUGAUCCAAAAUGAUGAAUGAUUCACAAGUUUGCAUGUGGCUUAUGUUAGCUAUUAUGAGAAGGUUAGAGCGUCAAGUAGUUCUACUACAGUUCCACUACCACUGCUACUGCCGCCACCCUCAAUCUCUUCGGAUGAGGACUAUGAUGAUGAUGAGGAUGAAGAUGACACUGAAGACUAUAGCUGAUAGUUUUAGCAUGGUUGAAUAAUAAUAUACUAGGAAUUAUAGUUGAUGAUCAAUACACUUUGAAUUAUAGUACUUUUCUUUUAGUUUGAUAAUACGAUGAAUUUGUUUAUUUUUUGA
Non-coding RNA from Arachis ipaensis, 1038 nucleotides. Lineage: Eukaryota; Viridiplantae; Streptophyta; Magnoliopsida; Fabales; Fabaceae. The record is from RefSeq and is a predicted model, not a curated record.